AAUCAACGCUGGCGGCGUGCCUAACACAUGCAAGUCGCACGAGAAAAGGGACUUCGGUCUUGAGUAAAAGUGGCGCACGGGUGAGUAACACGUGACUAAUCCACCCUCGAGUGGGGAAUAACCUAGGGAAACCUGGGCUAAUACCGCAUAACACUUACGAGUCAAAGCAGCAAUGCGCUUGGGGAGGAGGUCGCGGCAGAUUAGCUAGUUGGUGGGUAAUGGCCCACCAAGGCGAUGAUCUGUAUCCGGCCUGAGAGGGCGCACGGACACACUGGAACUG
Molecule: ribosomal RNA, 280 nt
Filed under: uncultured bacterium
Lineage: Bacteria
Description: partial 16S ribosomal RNA
Rfam family: Bacterial small subunit ribosomal RNA
Source: RNAcentral